Molecule: ribosomal RNA, 465 nt
Filed under: uncultured bacterium
Lineage: Bacteria
Description: partial 16S ribosomal RNA
Rfam family: Bacterial small subunit ribosomal RNA
Source: RNAcentral
GAUGAACGCUGGCGGCGUGCCUAACACAUGCAAGUCGAGCGGAGAAUUGUUGCUUGCAACCCUUCUUAGCGGCGGACGGGUGAGUAACACGUGGGUAACCUGCCCUAAACAAAGGGAUAACAAUGAGAAAUCAUUGCUAAUACCGUAUAAGCUUACACUAUCGCAUGAUAGAGUAAGAAAAGAUUUAUCGGUUUAGGAGGGGCCCGCGUCUGAUUAGCUAGUUGGAGAGGUAACGGCUCACCAAGGCGACGAUCAGUAGCCGACCUGAGAGGGUGAUCGGCCACAUUGGGAAUGAGACACGGCACAAACUCCUACGGGAGGCAGCAGUGGGGAAUAUUGCACAAUGGAGGAAACUCUGAUGCAGCAACGCCGAGUGAAGGAAGAAGGUUUUCGGAUCGUAAACUUCUAUCUACAGGGAAGAAAAAAAUGACGGUACCUGAGGAAGAAGCCCCGGCUAACUACGUG